UGUGUGUGUGUGACUUUAAUGCAUUUCCGUUCUCUCUCUUUUUUUUAAUUCCGCUGAUCUUGAAACCUGAAUCAGAAUCGUUUACUGUUUUGUAGCUUGAGUACUCAGAUCGAAUCAAGAAUAUUUCAGUUAACAGAUCUAAUCUCGACGAGACCCGGAGAAAGAGGCGGUUACCUUUCUCCAGCUCUGGAAAAGUGGUGAAAAAGGAACGUUCAUACAGAACAACAAGUGAAACUAAGAGAUCUGAAGAAAAGGGUUUCUUCUUCCUCCCUGAUCUGAACAUGACACCCAUAGAGGAAGAAGAGACCUUGUACGGGACGCGC
RNAcentral lists this long non-coding RNA (323 nucleotides) under Brassica napus (rape). RNAcentral's name for it is "long non-coding RNA (BNAP_LNC003633)". The record is from RNAcentral. Lineage: Eukaryota; Viridiplantae; Streptophyta; Magnoliopsida; Brassicales; Brassicaceae.